Molecule: transfer RNA, 84 nt
Filed under: Hypsizygus marmoreus
Lineage: Eukaryota; Fungi; Basidiomycota; Agaricomycetes; Agaricales; Lyophyllaceae
Rfam family: tRNA
About the family: Transfer RNA (tRNA) molecules are approximately 80 nucleotides in length. Their secondary structure includes four short double-helical elements and three loops (D, anti-codon, and T loops).
Source: Rfam by way of RNAcentral
ACACCGAUGGUGUAGCGGUUAUCAUGCUUGCCUUCCAUCGCCCCAAAUAAGCAAGCGGCACGGGUUCGACUCCCGUUCGGUGUA